Molecule: ribosomal RNA, 497 nt
Filed under: uncultured bacterium
Lineage: Bacteria
Description: partial 16S ribosomal RNA
Rfam family: Bacterial small subunit ribosomal RNA
Source: RNAcentral
GAUGAACGCUGGCGGCGUGCCUAAUACAUGCAAGUCGAGCGAACAGAUGAGGAGCUUGCUCCUCUGACGUUAGCGGCGGACGGGUGAGUAACACGUGGAUAACCUACCUAUAAGACUGGGAUAACUUCGGGAAACCGGAGCUAAUACCGGAUAAUAUAUUGAACCGCAUGGUUCAAUAGUGAAAGACGGUUUUGCUGUCACUUCUAGAUCGAUCCGCGCCGCAUUAGCUAGUUGGUAAGGUAACGGCUUACCAAGGCAACGAUGCGUAGCCGACCUGAGAGAGGGAUCGGCCACACUGGAACUGAGACACGGUCCAGACUCCUACGGGAGGCAGCAGUAGGGAAUCUUCCGCAAUGGGCGAAAGCUUGACGGAGCAACGCCGCGUGAGUUAUGAAGGUCUUCGGAUCGUAAAACUCUGUUAUUAGGGAAGAACAAAUGUGUAAGUAACUAUGCACGUCUUGACGGUACCUAAUCAGAAAGCCACGGCUAACUACGUG